AACGAACGCUGGCGGCAUGCCUAACACAUGCAAGUCGAACGAGACCUUCGGGUCUAGUGGCGCACGGGUGCGUAACGCGUGGGAACCUGCCCUUAGGUUCGGAAUAACUCCCCGAAAGGGGUGCUAAUACCGGAUAAUGUCUUCGGACCAAAGAUUUAUCGCCUUUGGAUGGGCCCGCGUUGGAUUAGCUAGUUGGUAGGGUAAAAGCCUACCAAGGCGACGAUCCAUAGCUGGUCUGAGAGGCUGAUCAGCCACACUGGGACUGAGACACGGCCCAGACUCCUACGGGAGGCAGCAGUGGGUAAUAUUGGACAAUGGGCGAAAGCCUGAUCCAGCACUGCCGCGUGAGUGAUGAAGGCCUUAGGGUUGUAAAGCUCUUUUACCCGGGAUGAUAAUGACAGUACCGGGAGAAUAAGCUCCGGCUAACUCCGUG
Molecule: ribosomal RNA, 433 nt
Filed under: uncultured bacterium
Lineage: Bacteria
Description: partial 16S ribosomal RNA
Rfam family: Bacterial small subunit ribosomal RNA
Source: RNAcentral